This 497-nucleotide ribosomal RNA is filed under the name uncultured bacterium. RNAcentral describes it as "partial 16S ribosomal RNA". It matches the Rfam family "Bacterial small subunit ribosomal RNA", at positions 28 to 507 of the family's 1533-position model. The record is from RNAcentral.
GACGAACGCUGGCGGCGUGCCUAAUACAUGCAAGUUGAGCGCUGAAGGUUGGUACUUGUACCAACUGGAUGAGCAGCGCACGGGUGAGUAACGCGUGGGGAAUCUGCCUUUGAGCGGGGGACCACAUUUGGAAACGAAUGCUAAUACCGCAUAAAAACUUUAAACACAAGUUUUAAGUUUGAAAUAUGCAAUUGCAUCACUCAAAUAUGAUUCCGCGUUGUAUUAGCUAGUUGGUGAGGUAAGGGCUCACCAAGGCGAUGAUACAUAGCCGACCUGAGAGGGUGAUCGGCCACAUUGGGACUGAGACACGGCCCAAACUCCUACGGGAGGCAGCAGUAGGGAAUCUUCGGCAAUGGACGAAAGUCUGACCGAGCAACGCCGCGUGAGUGAAGAAGGUUUUCGGAUCGUAAAACUCUGUUGGUAGAGAAGAACGUUGGUGAGAGUGGAAAGCUCAUCAAGUGACGGUAACUACCCAGAAAGGGACGGCUAACUACGUG